Oncorhynchus tshawytscha (Chinook salmon) is the source of this 553-nucleotide long non-coding RNA. The record is from Ensembl. Lineage: Eukaryota; Metazoa; Chordata; Actinopteri; Salmoniformes; Salmonidae.
GAAUGGAAUCCGGCCAUGAUGUCAGACAAUUCAUUCAUCCCAAAUGGAACAUUAUUCCCUACGUUGCACUCCUGUUUAGCAGAGGCCCUAUGGCAAAAGCAACGCAAUAAAAUAGGGCAUAGGCUGCCAUUCGGGACACACACAGACAACAUUCUCUGUAACCUGCAAGCAGUCAUUUCCAUCUACUGUUCUGUACUGCUUAAUGCUGUCAGACAACUCUACAGUACCUUGACAAGAGGUCUCAAUCUUUAUGGAAUAGAACGUAGUUCACAUGAUCUGGAACUGCAGAGUUACUGGUUCAAGUUCUCUUCCACUUCUUGUAUGAUGGAAGGAUGGUUGGGUGGAUGGAUGGAUGAAGGAAGGAUGGUUGGGUGGAUGGAUGGAUAAAGGAAGGAUGGUUGGGUGGAUGGAUGGAUGAAGGAUGGAUGGCUGGGUGGGUGGAUGGAUGAAGGAAGGAAGGAUGGUUGGGUGGGUGGGUGGAUGGAUGAAGGAAGGAUGGUUGGGUGGGUGGAUGGAUGGAUAAAGGAAGGAUGGUUGGGUGGAUGGAUGAAGG